CAUUUGGCGAAGCUGGUUUUUAAAUGGACCACAAACACCACACGCUGUACUCGCACAGCACGGCUUACUCUUAAAAUAAAAACGGCUUUAACACGAACCUCAUGGAGAAAAAAAAAAUGAAACUACCACAUAUUUUGGUUGCUGCCACACAUAAGCCCUGAAAUGAAGGUGAAAGAUGAAACCAUUAACUUCAGCACAAGAGCGCAUCUGUAAAAGUGUCAGUUGACUUUAUUGGGAUCGGUUUCACUCAGUUGAAGAGAAAACAACUUUUGUCUUUGGAACGUUUAACUAGGAAGAAAGAACAAAUCUACAAAAUAAGUUGGAAGGACAGUAUAUAAAAACAAUGGCAUCAAGAAAACAUAACCAAAAAGGAAAAAAAGGCUCAAAUAUUUUUUGGAUGCAGAGCAUUUUUAUCGUUUUGCCCUUUUGUUUACAAAACAAUAACAAAAGAGAGGGUGUGGGUGGCAGGGAAGGGGGUAUUUACAGUGCAUAUAUUUACAUUAAGGCAUUUUUGCUGGGGAGAACGGCGGCUGUUCUAACAACCCCCACUUCUACACAAUCAAAUAAAUAGUCAGAUUUACCAUGAUACAUUACAGUGAUAUAUUAUCUUUAUGCUACCUGCAGUGAAGGAACAAAUACAGUUAUAUGUGCAGGCCAAACCAAACCAUCAAAAUGGACAUUCAAAUAUAUAUGUAUAUCAAAAAGGACAAUGUGGAAUUUUUCUCAAGUGUGUCCUGAAACAUUCUUCUCAUGCGGAGCUUUUGAUUGAUGCGACUGUUCCUCAUGUCUAAUAUCAUUGUGACGAGAUCCGUUGGCGAUGUUGUGCAGAAUCUUAGUUAAACUAAACUCAAAUUAUUACUUUGCAAAGUCAGUCUUGACUCUUUAGUAAAUUGAACACCCUCAUUGUGCUUUCACAAACACACACAACAGCUCAACAUCAACACAGUCGUGUUUCCACGCAACUGCCAAGCAAAUUUUUUGCUUUUUUGAAAUGUUGCAAAACAGAUAUGCAAAUGAGGCGCGUUUCUGUCAACUGGUCUGGAGAGAAUAAACAGCAGUAGUUGUGUACUCGCUUUGGCUGUAAUCCGCCAGUUAACAGAGUAAAAGAAGUACAACUUGAUAUUUAGCCUCUACAAAAGAAAAAAAAACUAUUAUUCGUCAAAUUAUUGGUUAAAUAUCCAAUAACAAGAUAUAAGACAAAUCUGCUGUCAAAUAACAUUUUAGUCAAAUCUUUGACAAUGCAUACCUUUUUAAAUGAUUAAAUACUACUUUUAUGGAUUACAGACUUAUGACACCUUCGAAUCCUCGUCAAAUGUCAAACAAGGAUCUUGAGGAACACUUGCAGCAACAAAUAACUUGCAAUGCCCAUGUGGGAAUGUUCUUUUAAGAAAGACUUGGAAAAAUGUGAUCUUAUCCUUUCAUAAAAUAUACGUCCAUGUUUGACUGACUGAUUGAGCCCCAUUGUAAGUUAGUUGUGUCACAGAGUGAAAGCCCCCACAGAGAGUCCCACAAAAUGAAUAAUCACAAUGAAUGAUGGGUAAACCUUGUCAUUUAAAACAAGAAAUCGAAAUAAAAAUUUCAAUAGAUUAGGAAAUAAAAAACAGCACCAUGUGUGUUUUAAAAAAAGGACUAAAUUGAUCACAGCUCUGCUACCACAAAACCACGUGAAUCAUAGAAGGAGGCACUUAAUAAGGUUUUUGUGAGGAAGAUGCUGCUUUGGUUAAAACAUUUUGAACACAAUAAACAUAAAACAAAUCUGGAUGAGAUGGAUGUAAAGUAAUCGAAGCAUUAUAAUUGAAACACGGUCAAUUCUGUUUAAACUGAAGGAAUUCUGCGCCUCUACUGGUUCUAUUACACUUCACAGGGUGGAAAUCCAUCCAAAGCCAUCAUGAAUCAUUCACCACCUAAUUGCUGCUCUCCAGCAGCCGUCCACCUUCCUCUGUUCCUCAGACGUCCUCUCGCUAAAAACUCAAAUCUCUUCCACUCAAACCCUCCCUCGUUUUUUUUUUUUCUUUUCCUGCGCUAUCUUCCCUCUCUCCAGAGUAUAAAUGCCUUCAAUUUUUAAUAUCUGAACAGCGAGGACUUGUGUGGCGUUCCCAGGCAGUCCAGUAGUGAUAAUAACGAUCGUUCCAGUGGUGAGUGAGACGAGAACGGGAAGCUCAGACUUACAACAAUUCUAGUGCAAACCAAAGGAUUUGGUUAAAAAAAAAACCUGGAUAUUCCAGUUAUAUGAACAAACCAAGGAGUUAAACAAAGAUUUGGCUUGACUAGUUUUGCAAACAAAAGCUUCUCCUUUAUAAGAAAAAUAUACUAAAACAAAGCCAGUUCUAUGUUAGAGGGACUUACGGGUUUGCAGUUUUUUUUUUUUUGCAGAGUCCAAUUGCACUGGAGACACAUUUUUUAAGCUACUGUUUUCCUUUUUGUUUUAACAUUUUCUCCCUUCUAUUCAUCCAAAAGAAAAUGUAUAUCAAGUAUAAAUGCAGAUUAGGGGGGCCGGGACUUCAUCUGCCCAUUAUCUUUCUACGACUUUCUACAACCUCAGAUUUGUCCCACUUUGGGUUAAGAGCAACACGCGCGUCGGGCCGUUUCAGCCCCGGAUAGCAGCACCAGGAGCGGCUGUGGCGUCAUCGGGCAGCUUGUAUCAUCGCUGCUGUGGGACAUGGAGUGAGUGCUUUGUGUGUGCGUGCUGCUAGUUCUGGUGUCUCUUCAUGUGCAGGGCGAGGUGGUCGGAUCGGGAGAAGGAGCGCGAGCAGACGGCGCACUGGAAGGGUUUGGCGCCCGUGUGCUUCCGGAAGUGACGCGUCAGCUCGUCCGAACGAGCGAAACGCCAGUCGCAGCUGUCCCACGUGCACCUGUACGGCUUCUCGCCUGCGGGACGAGAGAGAGAGAGAGAGAGAGAGUGGGGAUUUAGUGAGGCCGAGCGUGUCAUUGAUCAUUAUUGACGCAGACGUUGCAAUGAGUGACAUGAGUCAUACUGGGUGGGUGGAGGUACCGGCAAAACAGGCUCUACAGAAAAUUCAGUUUUCAAAAAAAACAAACAUAUACAGUCAUGUAACUGUCAGAUCAUCCGGCAACGCGGAGUUUCCCACGGCCGGCUCGCCUGUCGCACCGACAUUUCUCCGUGCCGGGGAGUAUCGCCGGCCUCUCUGAAGCUCCGUCAUUCUGAUGGUGUGCAGCCGCGGCUCCGGAGGCACUUUGUGAACAACUUGUGUGACCGGUUUCUUUUAAGCCCCCCCCCCCCUCCCCCCUCUCCCCCCCGCGUGCACACGCUCAGCGGCCCCGUUGGUGAGCGCAGAGGAUUCGUGGUGUCAACCCAUGCAGAUCAUCGGUCCAGGUUCCGAGAUAUUCUUCCGUCACAUUUGCGCCGCCGCCCAAAAAAUAACAAAGGCAAAUGGAAUUUACUGUGACACUAAAACAAUUAGACAACAAGAGCAGAUUACACCUCCAAGACAAGUCUUGACAACGCAUUUUCUUUAUGUGUUUAGCUUGCUGGGAUUUCUGGAUUUUUAUGAAAUAUGGCCAGGGACGUUAUUCUUGCUCGGCCAAAUCGGCCCACUUUUAAUCCUUGUUUCUUUAGGUGCGUUUUGAAAGAAUAGGUGAGACAAGCUCCUACUGAAGUCAACACGUUUUUCAUUUCGUUGAUCAAAGAGCACCUUACGAUGGAGCCACAGCUCUUUACAAGCAAAUUACAUUGGACUCAAAUGGAAAUAUCUGCUUUUGGAUAUUUCUUCCUCCGUUUGUCUAUUAACUUAUUUGAUUAAAAACACGUCGGGGUAUGUGUCUGCUAUUGGUAAUUCUGGGGCAAAUACCAAAUAAGAAUUCAACAACUGUGUCAUUCCAGAAACAUGCUCCAUAACUCCAGAUAGUCCACGUCUCCAUUUAAAAAAGAAAAGGAGAAAAAAACAACAGUGGAAAGCUCUUUGCAGCAUGGAUAUGAUUCAAUUCACCUCUAUGACAAGGAAGCAGAAGCGAUUGUCUAAAGGAUGCGUCUCAGAACCUGGACAAACUAAAACUGCCUGCUGCUGGAUACAUUACAGAAAACACGUGCUUUCUCCUCAUCGGUCUGAAGCAACCCUUUAAACAAGCACAGCAACUAACGCAGCGUCGCUACAACAACAACAACAACAACAACAACAACAACUGUAAGCGCCUGUCACGAAAUGAACCACAAUGUGGUUACAACAACACAACCUGAAACUGAGCACAAGUAGGAGACACAACGAAAAGGAAGGAAAAUAGAGCGAAGGGAACUGGGAGUGAUGUUCAGAUUUUACGCUAGCGAAAACACACACGCACUCCUGCACACACAGACACACAAACAAUCAGGGUAAUGGAUGUUGAUGGAGAUUAGAGUGGGAACUCCCACAGGCACCCGAAUGCAUUAGGCAUCAUCUCAUACGGAUUACUGACAGGUGUGUGUGUGGUGUGUGUGUGUGUGUGUGUGUGUGUGUGUGUGUGUGUGUGCAUUCAAGCAGCUAAAUAAGAAGUACAACGAGUAACAGACAAAGAUAGAAAUGGGGGGGUGAAGAUGGGAGCUUGGCACACGGCAGAAAAGACGAUGACUAUGAAUGAGAGCGAGGGUGAGAAAGUGGCUGCUGCAUCCCGCUCAGCGUUUCCCCCACCAUUAUAACACCCCCCCAUAUAUAUGUAUAUAUAUAAAUAGGUUUAAUUUGAAUAGGCCUGUCUACUACCCCCCCCUGAAGUUGUAAACCUAGGGGGAAACACUGCCUCUUCAUGCGUCCUCGCCUCGCGGUCUACAAUAUCCGCGAUAACCACAAACAGCCUGGAGCAUGAAUGACGCCGCAUCUAAUUGGCGUGUCAUGUUCCCAAAAGUGAAAUGCGAGGCACGCAACCAUGUUCUGUACGAACAGUUCCCAUUGGUAAAGGGAACGGACGAGUUUGCCGUGCGUGCAGAUGAGUGAGGAAUGCGUAGAUAUCAACAGAAGCUUUGUUUUGUUAGCUGCAGAGAGGCGGGGGCCAACACCUAAGCGCUUGUUUGUUGCCUUUGCUCAUCGAAAACUAAAUAGCUCAGAUCGAAAUGUGAAAAAGAGGGACACCGAUUAAGAGGACGACUAAACUAAAGAAGGAGGAGAACGGACACCGAGGUGCAAACGACGAUUAGAAGCGGAGCGAUUGGGGAGAUAUUUUUGUAUCUGCACACACACACACACGAUUUAUUUAUUUAUAGUGGCGAAGCGUAUUGGAGCUUUUAAAGCAUCCGAACACUUAAGAGAAACGCCAGCGUCCGUCCAGUGCUGACCACGUAGUCCGAGAGUCGUCCCCUGGCAGAAGUGUGUCACUUCCACCUGCUUUGAUGGAAUAGUAUAUUGGGCAGAGGAUGGGAAUGGGGUAGGAUACAUUUACACGCACAUGCCAGGAACACAACACUCUGCCCAGCAACACGGUGCCAGUGCAGAUACCAAAAUACCAGCCAUGUGGGCAGCGGCUUCUUUUUUUAAAUUUUUUAAAAUUAUUUUUAAAAUUAUUGACGAGUCCCAAUUUAAAAAGCUCCAUUGAUUGGAGGAACGUCUUACCCGUGUGAGUCCUGAGGUGGGCUUUCAGGUGGGACGACUUGGUGUAGACUUUCUUGCAGCCUGAGGACAGAGAUGGACACAAACAGAAGGCUCAAUCCCGGCGCGAAUCGUUCACCUGUCACUCGUGCAUUUGACCAACAGAGCUCGGCCGCGGUGUGAAAGGCCAACUGAUGGGGCAACAGAAGUUGUUUCCAAUGAGAUACAGGAAACUUUUUUUUCCUUUGGAGGCUUUCA
Long non-coding RNA from Gasterosteus aculeatus aculeatus (three-spined stickleback), 5768 nucleotides. The record is from Ensembl. Lineage: Eukaryota; Metazoa; Chordata; Actinopteri; Perciformes; Gasterosteidae.